Molecule: ribosomal RNA, 431 nt
Filed under: uncultured Glomus
Lineage: Eukaryota; Fungi; Glomeromycota; Glomeromycetes; Glomerales; Glomeraceae
Description: SSU rRNA
Rfam family: Eukaryotic small subunit ribosomal RNA
Source: RNAcentral
AGCAGCCGCGGUAAUUCCAGCUCCAAUAGCGUAUAUUAAAGUUGUUGCAGUUAAAAAGCUCGUAGUUGAACUUCGAGAUCAAAUUGUUGGUCGUGCCUUGGUACGUACUGGCAUUAUUGGUUUCUCCCUUCUGAAGAACCAUGAUGUCAUUAAUUUGGUGUCAUGGGGAAUCAGGACUGUUACUUUGAAAAAUUAGAGUGUUUAAAGCAGGCUCGCGCUUGAAUACAUUAGCAUGGAAUAAUGAAAUAGGACGUUUAAUUCUAUUUUGUUGGUUUCUAGGAUUGACGUAAUGAUUAAUAGGGAUAGUUGGGGGCAUUAGUAUUCAAUUGUCAGAGGUGAAAUUCUUGGAUCUAUUGAAGACUAACUACUGCGAAAGCAUUUGCCAAGGAUGUUUUCAUUAAUCAAGAACGAAAGUUAGGGGAUCGAAGACG